UACGUAGGGAGCAAGCGUUGUCCGGAAUCAUUGGGCGUAAAGCGCGCGUAGGCGGCCCUGUAAGUCCGCUGUGAAAGUCAAAGGCUCAACCUUUGAAAGCCGGUGGAUACUGCAGGGCUAGAGUCCGGAAGAGGCGAGUGGAAUUCCUGGUGUAGCGGUGGAAUGCGCAGAUAUCAGGAGGAACACCAAUAGCGAAGGCAGCUCGCUGGGACGGUACUGACGCUCAGGUGCGAAAGCGUGGGGAGCAAACAGG
RNAcentral lists this ribosomal RNA (253 nucleotides) under uncultured bacterium. RNAcentral's name for it is "partial 16S ribosomal RNA". It matches the Rfam family "Bacterial small subunit ribosomal RNA", at positions 524 to 776 of the family's 1533-position model. The record is from RNAcentral.